CCUACGGGAGGCAGCAGUGAGGAAUAUUGGUCAAUGGGCGCAAGCCUGAACCAGCCAAGUCGCGUGAGGGAUGACGGUCCUAUGGAUUGUAAACCUCUUUUGUCGGGGAGCAAGGCCCGCCACGUGUGGCUGGAAGGAGAGUACCCGAAGAAAAAGCAUCGGCUAACUCCGUGCCAGCAGCCGCGGUAAUACGGAGGAUGCGAGCGUUAUCCGGUUUUAUUGGGUUUAAAGGGUGCGUAGGCGGCCUUUUAAGUCAGCGGUGAAAGUCUGUGGCUCAACCAUAGAAUUGCCGUUGAAACUGGGGGGCUUGAGUAUGUUUGAGGUAGGCGGAAUUCGUGGUGUAGCGGUGAAAUGCUUAGAUAUCACGAAGAACUCCGAUUGCGAAGGCAGCUUACUAAACUGCCACUGACAUUGAUGCUCGAAAGUGUGGGUAUCAAACAGGAUUAGAUACCCGAGUAGUC
RNAcentral lists this ribosomal RNA (461 nucleotides) under uncultured bacterium. RNAcentral's name for it is "partial 16S ribosomal RNA". It matches the Rfam family "Bacterial small subunit ribosomal RNA", at positions 338 to 795 of the family's 1533-position model. The record is from RNAcentral.